Sinocyclocheilus anshuiensis is the source of this 363-nucleotide long non-coding RNA. RefSeq lists it as uncharacterized. The transcript is spliced from 3 exons. The record is from RefSeq and is a predicted model, not a curated record. NCBI's taxonomy places the organism in Eukaryota, Metazoa, Chordata, Actinopteri, Cypriniformes, Cyprinidae.
GAACACGCUGGCUACCACAUGUGUCUAGAUCUUUGGAGACACUGUUAAAACUGGAGAGAGAGGAGGUUAUCUUCAGGACCCAGGACAGUUUACUGCAGUCUAUGUGCACAUGGACCACUUGGCCAGUGCAUCAGCAAACACAGACAUUGCUGGAAGGGCCAAAAAGAUCAAGAAGACUAUGGAGGAUGGAACUUUUGUAGCCUUCUGCCACUUUCUUGCUGAUGUUUUUUUCUGUGAUCAGUCAGUUUAGUUUACUUUUGCAAAGAAAUGAAGUCAUUCUACCCCAGGCUGUCAGUGGGGUUCAAAACCUCAUUGUGAACAUUGAAACAAUGGCAGUGAGACCCAAACCAGGAGGAAGACUCC